AAAGAAAGUGAAAGAAAUAAAGUUUUAACUUAACCUCCCGUCCUUUCCAACAAAGCAAUCAUUCUUGCAAAGGCUUUUUUGUUU
This 84-nucleotide transfer RNA is filed under the name Cajanus scarabaeoides. Its description in RNAcentral is "tRNA-Tyr". The record is from RNAcentral. Lineage: Eukaryota; Viridiplantae; Streptophyta; Magnoliopsida; Fabales; Fabaceae.